AGAGUUUGAUCAUGGCUCAGAUUGAACGCUGGCGGCAGGCCUAACACAUGCAAGUCGAACGGUAGCACAGAGGAGCUUGCUCCUUGGGUGACGAGUGGCGGACGGGUGAGUAAUGUCUGGGAAACUGCCCGAUGGAGGGGGAUAACUACUGGAAACGGUAGCUAAUACCGCAUAACGUCGCAAGACCAAAGAGGGGGACCUUCGGGCCUCUUGCCAUCGGAUGUGCCCAGAUGGGAUUAGCUAGUAGGUGGGGUAACGGCUCACCUAGGCGACGAUCCCUAGCUGGUCUGAGAGGAUGACCAGCCACACUGGAACUGAGACACGGUCCAGACUCCUACGGGAGGCAGCAGUGGGGAAUAUUGCACAAUGGGCGCAAGCCUGAUGCAGCCAUGCCGCGUGUAUGAAGAAGGCCUUCGGGUUGUAAAGUACUUUCAGCGAGGAGGAAGGCGUAAUAACCGCAGCGAUUGACGUUACUCGCAGAAGAAGCACCGGCUAACUCCGUGCCAGCAGCCGCGGUAAUACGGAGGGUGCAAGCGUUAAUCGGAAUUACUGGGCGUAAAGCGCACGCAGGCGGUCUGUCAAGUCGGAUGUGAAAUCCCCGGGCUCAACCUGGGAACUGCAUCCGAAACUGGCAGGCUAGAGUCUUGUAGAGGGGGGUAGAAUUCCAGGUGUAGCGGUGAAAUGCGUAGAGAUCUGGAGGAAUACCGGUGGCGAAGGCGGCCCCCUGGACAAAGACUGACGCUCAGGUGCGAAAGCGUGGGACAAACAGGAUUAGAUACCCUGGUAGUCCAGAGGACCCUUCGACUUGGAGGUU
RNAcentral lists this ribosomal RNA (814 nucleotides) under Citrobacter pasteurii. Its description in RNAcentral is "bacterial SSU rRNA". It matches the Rfam family "Bacterial small subunit ribosomal RNA", at positions 8 to 824 of the family's 1533-position model. The record is from RNAcentral. Lineage: Bacteria; Pseudomonadati; Pseudomonadota; Gammaproteobacteria; Enterobacterales; Enterobacteriaceae.